UCCCUGAUAGCUCAGUUGGUAAAAAAUCUGCCUGCAAUGCAGGAGACCCCAGUUUGAUUUCUGGGUCAGGAAG
Non-coding RNA from Ovis aries (sheep), 73 nucleotides. Lineage: Eukaryota; Metazoa; Chordata; Mammalia; Artiodactyla; Bovidae. The record is from Rfam.